CAGCCGUAAACAAUGUGCGUUAGGUGUGUCGGUAACCACGCGUUACUGAUGCGCCGAAGAGAAAUCGUGAAACGCACCACCUGGGAAGUACGGUCGCAAGGCUGAAACUUAAAGGAAUUGGCGGGGGAGCACCACAACAGGUGGAGCCUGCGGUUUAAUUGGAUUCAACGCCGGACAUCUCACCGGAUAAGACAGCUGAAUGAUUGUCAAUCUGAAGGUUUUACAUGACUAGCUGAGAGGAGGUGCAUGGCGUGUGACUGU
RNAcentral lists this ribosomal RNA (261 nucleotides) under uncultured archaeon. Its description in RNAcentral is "partial 16S ribosomal RNA". It matches the Rfam family "Archaeal small subunit ribosomal RNA", at positions 748 to 1008 of the family's 1478-position model. The record is from RNAcentral.